RNAcentral lists this ribosomal RNA (493 nucleotides) under uncultured bacterium. RNAcentral's name for it is "partial 16S ribosomal RNA". It matches the Rfam family "Bacterial small subunit ribosomal RNA", at positions 28 to 523 of the family's 1533-position model. The record is from RNAcentral.
GACGAACGCUGGCGGCGUGCUUAACACAUGCAAGUCGAACGGUAACAGGUUAAGCUGACGAGUGGCGAACGGGUGAGUAAUGCAUCGGAACGUGCCCGGUCGUGGGGGAUAACGCAGCGAAAGCUGCGCUAAUACCGCAUACGAUCUGAGGAUGAAAGCGGGGGACCGUAAGGCCUCGCGCGAUCGGAGCGGCCGAUGUCAGAUUAGGUAGUUGGUGGGGUAAAGGCUCACCAAGCCAACGAUCUGUAGCUGGUCUGAGAGGACGACCAGCCACACUGGGACUGAGACACGGGCCAGACUCCUACGGGAGGCAGCAGUGGGGAAUUUUGGACAAUGGGCGAAAGCCUGAUCCAGCAAUGCCGCGUGCAGGAAGAAGGCCUUCGGGUUGUAAACUGCUUUUGUACGGAGCGAAAAGGUCUCCUCUAAUACAGGGGGCUCAUGACGGUACCGUAAGAAUAAGCACCGGCUAACUACGUGCCAGCCGCCGCCGUAA